RNAcentral lists this ribosomal RNA (785 nucleotides) under uncultured archaeon. RNAcentral describes it as "bacterial SSU rRNA". It matches the Rfam family "Archaeal small subunit ribosomal RNA", at positions 88 to 879 of the family's 1478-position model. The record is from RNAcentral.
GCUCAGUAACACGUGGAUAACCUACCCUGAGGAGGGGGAUAACCCCGGGAAACUGGGGAUAAUACCUCAUAGGUUUCAGAUGCUGGAAUGCUCUGAAACCGAAAUGCUCCGGCGCCUCAGGAUGGAUCUGCGGCCGAUUAGGUUGUUGUUGGGGUAACGGCCCAACAAGCCCGUCAUCGGUACGGGUUGUGAGAGCAAGAGCCCGGAGAUGGAUUCUGAGACACCAAUCCAGGCCCUACGGGGCGCAGCAGGCGCGAAACCUUUACAAUGCGAGCAAUCGUGAUAAGGGAACCCCGAGUGCCUGAAACCAGGCUGUUCAGGUGUUUAAAAAGCACCUGGAGAAAGGGCCGGGCAAGACCGGUGCCAGCCGCCGCGGUAAUACCGGCGGCUCGAGUGGUGGCCGCUAUUAUUGGGCUUAAAGCGUUCGUAGCUGGGUUGUUAAGUCUCUUGGGAAAUCUCACGGCUCAACCGUGAGGCGACUAAGAGAUACUGGCAAUCUUGGGACCGGGAGAGGUGAGAGGUACUCCAGGGGUAGGAGUGAAAUCCUGUAAUCCUUGGGGGACCACCGGUGGCGAAGGCGUCUCACCAGAACGGCUCCGACAGUGAGGGACGAAAGCUGGGGGAGCAAACCGGAUUAGAUACCCGGGUAGUCCCAGCCGUAAACGAUGCACGUUAGGUGUUUCGGUGACCACGAGUCACCGAUGUGCCGAAGGGAAACCGUAAAACGUGCCGCCUGGGAAGUACGGUCGCAAGGCUGAAACUUAAAGGAAUUGGCGGGGGAGCAC